RNAcentral lists this ribosomal RNA (406 nucleotides) under uncultured bacterium. Its description in RNAcentral is "partial 16S ribosomal RNA". It matches the Rfam family "Bacterial small subunit ribosomal RNA", at positions 30 to 526 of the family's 1533-position model. The record is from RNAcentral.
AUUGAACGCUGGCGGCAGGCCUAACACAUGUCAGUCGAACGAGUGGCGGACGGGUGAGUAAUAUCUGGGAAACUGCCUGAUGGAGGGGGAUAACUACUGGAAACGGUAGCUAAUACCGCAUACCAUCAGAUGUGCCCAGAUGGGGUUAGCUAGUUGGUGGGGUAACGGCUCACCAAUGCGUCGCUCCCUAGCUGGUCUGAGAGGAUGACCAGCCACACUGGAACUGAGACACGGUCCAGACUCAUACGGAAGGCAGCAGUGGGGAAGAUUGCACAAUGGGCGCAAGCCUGAUGCAGCCAUGCCGCGUGUAUGAAGAAGGCCUUCGGGUUGUAAAGUACUUUCAGCGGGGAGGCGUUACCCGCAGAAGAAGCACCGGCUAACUCCGUGCCAGCAGCCGCGGUAAUUC